UGCGGCUGGAUCACCUCCUUUCAAGGAUGUUUCCUGACACGUUGGGAAACGCCGACAAAAAGACCUGCAUUGGAUCAGUGCAGGCAACGGAUGGCCUCAGGGCGCCGUCAACAUAUCCCUUCCUGUAAUGUUUUGGGCUAGUAGCUCAGUUGGUUAGAGCACACGCUUGAUAAGCGUGGGGUCGGAGGUUCAAGUCCUCCCUGGCCCACCACGACUGUGGUGGUUUCUAGACCUGGGGGCGUAGCUCAGCUGGGAGAGCACCUGCUUUGCAAGCAGGGGGUCGUCGGUUCGAUCCCGUCCGCCUCCACCAGAAACCACACCGAUACACGCUGCUUGGCGAAAGCUUUGAGCGGCAUGAUGGUGCGAUAACAUUACAGGUUAAGGGAAAAAUGUUUCCUCCCUGCCGCACUUUGGUGCGGGAGCGAUGAAAAAGUCUGUUCUUUGUCAGUGUGAAUAGGUUGGUGCACUUUCUGGGUGCUGCCACGAUCCGGGUUGGUCUGACCCAUGUGGAUCGGUUUUGGGUUUCCUGGACUUUGGUCCAAGAGGCUCUGAUCCGGUCUCGUGUUUAAGGAUUGUGGCGUAUAGCGGUCAGAGAGUGUUUUAUAAGUAUGAUGAACUUUGCGUGCGAAGCAUUGCAUUUUCUCUGCGCAGAAAACUCUGAAGCGCGCGAGCGUGGAUGGUUGCUGUGCAUGUGUAGUGUGUGAGCAUGAGAAGGGCAUUCGGUGGAUGCCUUGGCAUC
This 739-nucleotide transfer RNA is filed under the name Asaia krungthepensis. RNAcentral's name for it is "partial miscellaneous RNA". The stretch from base 135 to 208 matches the Rfam family "tRNA". Lineage: Bacteria; Pseudomonadati; Pseudomonadota; Alphaproteobacteria; Acetobacterales; Acetobacteraceae. The record is from RNAcentral.